RNAcentral lists this transfer RNA (69 nucleotides) under Onymocoris hackeri. RNAcentral describes it as "tRNA-Gln". It matches the Rfam family "tRNA". Rfam says of the family: Transfer RNA (tRNA) molecules are approximately 80 nucleotides in length. Their secondary structure includes four short double-helical elements and three loops (D, anti-codon, and T loops). The record is from RNAcentral. Lineage: Eukaryota; Metazoa; Arthropoda; Insecta; Hemiptera; Thaumastocoridae.
UAUAUUAUAGUGUAAGGUGCACGUUGAAUUUUGAAUUCAUUGGUUUAAGUUCAAUUCUUAGUUUUAUAA